This 244-nucleotide unclassified non-coding RNA is filed under the name Hevea brasiliensis (rubber tree). The record is from RNAcentral. Lineage: Eukaryota; Viridiplantae; Streptophyta; Magnoliopsida; Malpighiales; Euphorbiaceae.
GUUUUAUUGAAUUAAGGCGUGGAUGCUUAAUAGAUGUAAAUAACUGAAAGAAACAGUGAGAAUUUUUCUUUUCAAGAGACAAGGAGAAUUGAUGAGCCAUUGGCUUCUGCAUCAUGAUUGUUAGAACUUUUUUGAGUUCAGUAUAUUCAACUCUGGGAAUUAAUUAUCUACUUGGGGAACAUAGAAAUUGGAUCAAGCCUGUGGAGAGGCUUCCAUUACAGGGCUGAGUUUAAGGUGUGGGGGC